CCUACGGGGGGCAGCAGUGAGGAAUAUUGGUCAAUGGACGGAAGUCUGAACCAGCCAUGCCGCGUGAGUGAAGAAGUAUUUCGGUAUGUAAAGCUCUAUCAGCCGGGAAGAAAGAAAUGACGGUACCUGACUAAGAAGCCCCGGCUAACUACGUGCCAGCAGCCGCGGUAAUACGUAGGGGGCAAUCGUUAUCCGGAUUUACUGGGUGUAAAGGGAGCGUAGACGGCGAUGCAAGUCUGAAGUGAAAGGCGGGGGCCCAACCCCCGGACUGCUGUGGAAACUGUAUGGCUUGAGUGCAGGAGAGGUAAGUGGAAUGCCUAGUGUAGCGGUGAAAUGCGUAGAUAUUAGGAGGAACACCAGUGGCGAAGGCGGCUUACUGGACUGUAACUGACGUUGAGGCUCGAAAGCGUGGGGAGCAAACAGGAUUAGAUACCCCUGUAGUC
RNAcentral lists this ribosomal RNA (443 nucleotides) under uncultured bacterium. RNAcentral describes it as "partial 16S ribosomal RNA". It matches the Rfam family "Bacterial small subunit ribosomal RNA", at positions 338 to 795 of the family's 1533-position model. The record is from RNAcentral.